This 506-nucleotide ribosomal RNA is filed under the name uncultured bacterium. RNAcentral's name for it is "partial 16S ribosomal RNA". It matches the Rfam family "Bacterial small subunit ribosomal RNA", at positions 30 to 523 of the family's 1533-position model. The record is from RNAcentral.
AUUGAACGCUGGCGGCAGGCCUAACACAUGCAAGUCGAACGGUAGCACAGAGGAGCUUGCUCCUUGGGUGACGAGUGGCGGACGGGUGAGUAAUGUCUGGGAAACUGCCCGAUGGAGGGGGAUAACUACUGGAAACGGUAGCUAAUACCGCAUAACGUCGCAAGACCAAAGAGGGGGACCUUCGGGCCUCUUGCCAUCGGAUGUGCCCAGAUGGGAUUAGCUAGUAGGUGGGGUAACGGCUCACCUAGGCGACGAUCCCUAGCUGGUCUGAGAGGAUGACCCGCCACACUGGAACUGAGACACGGUCCAGACUCCUACGGGAGGCAGCAGUGGGGAAUAUUGCACAAUGGGCGCAAGCCUGAUGCAGCCAUGCCGCGUGUAUGAAGAAGGCCUUCGGGUUGUAAAGUACUUUCAGCGAGGAGGAAGGUGCUGAGGUUAAUAACCUCAGCAAUUGACGUUACUCGCAGAAGAAGCACCGGCUAACUCCGUGCCAGCCGCCGCCGUAA